AUUGAACGCUGGCGGCAUGCCUUACACAUGCAAGUCGAACAGCAGCACGGGUGCUUGCACCUGGUGGCGAGUGGCGAACGGGUGAGUAAUACAUCGGAACGUACCUUAUCGUGGGGGAUAACGCAGCGAAAGCUGUGCUAAUACCGCAUACGCCCUGAGGGGGAAAGCGGGGGAUCGCAAGACCUCGCGCGAUUAGAGCGGCCGGGGCCUGAUUAGCUGGUUGGUGGGGUAAAAGCCCACCAAGGCGACGAUCAGUCGCUGGUCUGAGGGGACGAUCAGCCACACUGGGACUGGGACACAGCCCAGACUACUACGGGGGGCAGCAGUGGGGAAUUUUGGACAAUGGGGGCAACCCUGAUCCAGCAAUGCCGCGUGAGUGAAGAAGGCCUUCGGGUUGUAAAGCUCUUUUGUCAGGGAGCAAAUCCUGGCCUCUAAUACAGGUCGGGGAUGAGAGUACCAGAAGAAUAAGGACCGGCUAACUACGUGCCAGCAGCCGCGGUAA
Molecule: ribosomal RNA, 502 nt
Filed under: uncultured bacterium
Lineage: Bacteria
Description: partial 16S ribosomal RNA
Rfam family: Bacterial small subunit ribosomal RNA
Source: RNAcentral